UACGUAGGGGGCAAGCGUUGUCCGGAUUUACUGGGUGUAAAGGGUGCGUAGGCGGCUUUGCAAGUCAGAAGUGAAAUCCAUGGGCUUAACCCAUGAACUGCUUUUGAAACUGCAAGGCUUGAGUGAAGUAGAGGCAGGCGGAAUUCCCGGUGUAGCGGUAAAAUGCGUAGAGAUCGGGAGGAACACCAGUGGCGAAGGCGGCCUGCUGGGCUUUAACUGACGCUGAGGCACGAAAGCAUGGGUAGCAAACAGG
RNAcentral lists this ribosomal RNA (253 nucleotides) under uncultured bacterium. RNAcentral describes it as "partial 16S ribosomal RNA". It matches the Rfam family "Bacterial small subunit ribosomal RNA", at positions 524 to 776 of the family's 1533-position model. The record is from RNAcentral.